RNAcentral lists this ribosomal RNA (766 nucleotides) under uncultured bacterium. RNAcentral describes it as "bacterial SSU rRNA". It matches the Rfam family "Bacterial small subunit ribosomal RNA", at positions 346 to 1104 of the family's 1533-position model. The record is from RNAcentral.
AGGCAGCAGUGGGGAAUAUUGCACAAUGGGCGCAAGCCUGAUGCAGCCAUGCCGCGUGUGUGAAGAAGGCCUUCGGGUUGUAAAGCACUUUCAGCGAGGAGGAAGGUGGUGAACUUAAUACGUUCAUCAAUUGACGUUACUCGCAGAAGAAGCACCGGCUAACUCCGUGCCAGCAGCCGCGGUAAUACGGAGGGUGCAAGCGUUAAUCGGAAUUACUGGGCGUAAAGCGCACGCAGGCGGUUUGUUAAGUCAGAUGUGAAAUCCCCGGGCUCAACCUGGGAACUGCAUUUGAAACUGGCAAGCUAGAGUCUCGUAGAGGGGGGUAGAAUUCCAGGUGUAGCGGUGAAAUGCGUAGAGAUCUGGAGGAAUACCGGUGGCGAAGGCGGCCCCCUGGACGAAGACUGACGCUCAGGUGCGAAAGCGUAGGGAGCAAACAGGAUUAGAUACCCUGGUAGUCCACGCUGUAAACGAUGUCGAUUUGGAGGUUGUGCCCUUGAGGCGUGGCUUCCGGAGCUAACGCGUUAAAUCGACCGCCUGGGGAGUACGGCCGCAAGGUUAAAACUCAAAUGAAUUGACGGGGGCCCGCACAAGCGGUGGAGCAUGUGGUUUAAUUCGAUGCAACGCGAAGAACCUUACCUACUCUUGACAUCCAGAGAACUUUCCAGAGAUGGAUUGGUGCCUUCGGGAACUCUGAGACAGGUGCUGCAUGGCUGUCGUCAGCUCGUGUUGUGAAAUGUUGGGUUAAGUCCCGCAACGAGCGCAACCC